RNAcentral lists this long non-coding RNA (1669 nucleotides) under Homo sapiens (human). RNAcentral describes it as "HSALNT0005513". Lineage: Eukaryota; Metazoa; Chordata; Mammalia; Primates; Hominidae. The record is from RNAcentral.
GACUCAGCAGAAAGACCAAGAAAGCUCCACAAUAGCUCAGACGACAGAUGACUGUGGCCUGGCCCAGGGUGGUGGCAGCAGGGAAGAGGAGUGGAUGGGUUGGAAAACACCGCAGGAAGUAGGGCUCGGUGAUUAACUGGAAACGGGAACUAGGAAGGAGAACAACUUCUCUAUUUCUGGUUUGGGCAUUGGAUGGAUGAAGGUGCCAUGAGUGCCUUCAUGGGACGGGGGAGACCCCACUGGAGGAGCAGGUGUUGGGUGGUGGGCAUGUUGAGAGAGAGAGAGGGCUAUGGGCACUGGGCAAACACUCCAUGGGUAUGAAGAGAGAGACCCGGCUGGAAAUGCAGAUCUGGGGGACAUCAGGGUAGAGGUGGUGACUGAGGUCACAGGAGCAGCUGAGACAGUCCAGAGAGCUUGUAGCAAAGUUAGAGGAGGACCCGAUGGAGCCCCAGCGGUGCAGCAGGAACAGAGGCCCUCUACGCAGACUGGGAGGGAUAGCCAGAGAGCUGGGAGGGAAAGCAGAAGAGAGAAGUGUCAGAGAGGCCACGUGAAGAACAUGUUUCAAAGCGGGAGUAGACAACAGUGUCAAAUGCUGCCAAGAGGUCAAGUGAGAUAAGGCGUGAAAAAUGUCCUCUGGAUUUGGUGACACAUUGGUCACUGGGUCCCUUGGCAAGGGCAGCCUUCUCUCAGAAGGAGAGGAAGACCAGAACAGGCCCAGAAAAAGUGAGAAAGGGGAGGGGCAGUGAGGAGGUAGAGACAGUAAGUGUAGGUUUAACAAUUUGAAGAUGUUUGACUGCAAAGAAGAGAUCAGAGAUCGUAGCUGGAGAAGGAUGCAGGGUAUAGGGAAUCUUUUUCUUUUCUUUUAAGAUGAGAGAGCCAGAGUGGAAGGAGCCAAGAGAUCAAGAAGGAGAAGUUGAAGAUGCGGGGAGACAGAGCUUGAUUAUCCAGUAGGAAGCAGCCUGUGUGAGAAGAGGACCGCUCCCCACCCCCAAGUAUCCACCAAGGCCAAGGAAUGGAACUAAGAACCACAGAGGAAAGUUGGCAGAGGUGCAGAGAGAUGGGCCAUGAGACUGCACUACGCUGGAACCUCAUCCCCCUGCUCUCUAUCCCAUGAAUCCAAAAUGUGCUUUCUGCCUUGAAGCCUCUAAAGAAUUCUCUUUCCUUACCAUAUCUGUCCUCUACCUCCAGAAGCCAAUUUUUCUUUUUCUUUAUCCCAAAUGUAAUAGUACAGAAGCCAGUUUUUAUUGAGCCAGCUUGAAUGGUUUCUGUCCCACGGGACAUGAAAGGCAGUGUCUUCUAGACAAGGUGUUUGAUGAGGAAUAGCUUCCUCCUCUCCCACCUGCACCAGCCCCAAACCUUCCGACUUGUUCUGUCUGCUUCCUUCUGCCGUGCCAGCCUGCCUACCUGUUGCACCAGGUCAGUGGGCUGAGCAAUGUGUUGACAAGAGCCAGAGUGGAACAAAGAGGACACAGGGGCAUCCAUCUGUUGGGACUGGCCAGACAGAGCUGACUUCUCAAACAGGGAGGUGUGGGCCCUCCCAAGCAGGAUGCCAUUGAAAGGAAGGGGAAACAUGGGGUGGAAUUUAGGCAGCCAGGAUUUGAGAAACUCAAGCAAGAUGGCUAGUGGAAACCUUCCCUCGGUUCCACUGAGCAGCUCCGUGCAGAUUCGG